This is a long non-coding RNA of Juglans microcarpa x Juglans regia, 283 nucleotides long. RefSeq lists it as uncharacterized. Lineage: Eukaryota; Viridiplantae; Streptophyta; Magnoliopsida; Fagales; Juglandaceae. The record is from RefSeq and is a predicted model, not a curated record. The transcript is spliced from 2 exons.
CAUCCUGUAAGUGCAAGCCGUGAUGUGAGACAGUUUGCAGAGAAAAGAAAUAAAUAGAUAUAGUUUGCAUGGAUGCAGAGCCAAUUAGUAUUUCAAAAGGGAAAAAGUAAAAAUAAGGGAAAACGAAGUUUUUAUGUCAAUAAUGAUAGAAAUAUUUGCAAUGAUUAGCUUCUACAGCAUGGAACCUUUGCUCCAUGCAUCUAAAAUGUAAAUAACUAGAUACAUGUAAUUAAAUUGUUAACUUUUUAUCAAUUAAUUUUGAAAAGACAAAAAAUAAAGACAG